RNAcentral lists this ribosomal RNA (252 nucleotides) under uncultured bacterium. Its description in RNAcentral is "partial 16S ribosomal RNA". It matches the Rfam family "Bacterial small subunit ribosomal RNA", at positions 524 to 776 of the family's 1533-position model. The record is from RNAcentral.
UACAGAGGAUGCAAGCGUUAUCCGGAAUGAUUGGGCGUAAAGCGUCUGUAGGUGGCUUUUUAAGUCCGCCGUCAAAUCCCAGGGCUCAACUCUGGACAGGCGGUGGAAACUACCAAGCUGGAGUACGGUAGGGGCAGAGGGAAUUUCCGGUGGAGCGGUGAAAUGCGUAGAGAUCGGAAGAACACCGGUGGCGAAGACGGUCUGCUGGGCAGUUGCUGACGCUGAGGCGCGAUAGCGUGGGGAGCAAACAGG